Molecule: ribosomal RNA, 382 nt
Filed under: uncultured Methanosaeta sp.
Lineage: Archaea; Methanobacteriati; Methanobacteriota; Methanomicrobia; Methanotrichales; Methanotrichaceae
Description: bacterial SSU rRNA
Rfam family: Archaeal small subunit ribosomal RNA
Source: RNAcentral
AGGCUGAAGACUUACCCGAUUAGCUGAGAGGUGGUGCAUGGCCGUCGUCAGUUCGUACUGUGAAGCAUCCUGUUAAGUCAGGCAACGAGCGAGACCCACGUCCACAGUUGCCAGCAUACCCUCCGGGGUGAUGGGUACACUGUGGAGACCGCCGCUGCUAAAGCGGAGGAAGGAGUGGGCAACGGUAGGUCAGUAUGCCCCGAAUCUCCCGGGCUACACGCGGGCUACAAUGGUUGGUACAAUGGGCAUCUACCCCGAAAGGGGAAGGAAAUCUCUUAAAGCCAAUCGUAGUUCGGAUUGAGGGCUGCAACUCGCCCUCAUGAAGCUGGAAUCCGUAGUAAUCGCGUUUCAACAGAACGCGGUGAAUACGUCCCUGCUCCUU